ACACGUAGGAGCCAAGCGUUAUCCGAAUUCACUGGGCGUAAAGCGCGUGUAGGCGGUCUUACAAGUUGGGUGUGAAAGCUCCUGGCUCAACUAGGAGAGGACGUUCAAUACUGUAAGACUAGAGGACGGCAGAGGAAGGUGGAAUUCCCGGUGUAGUGGUGAAAUGCGUAGAUAUCGGGAGGAACACCAGAGGCGAAGGCGGCCUUCUGGGCCGAUCCUGACGCUCAGACGCGAAAGCUAGGGGAGCGAACGGGAUUAGAAACCCCGGUAGUCCUAGCCGUAAACGAUGUAGACUUGGCGCUGGUGGUGUAAAAGCCAUCAGUGCCGAAGCCAACGCGAUAAGUCUACCGCCUGGGGACUACGGCCGCAAGGUUAAA
This 377-nucleotide ribosomal RNA is filed under the name uncultured bacterium. RNAcentral describes it as "bacterial SSU rRNA". It matches the Rfam family "Bacterial small subunit ribosomal RNA", at positions 523 to 898 of the family's 1533-position model. The record is from RNAcentral.